Malaclemys terrapin pileata is the source of this 2479-nucleotide long non-coding RNA. RefSeq lists it as uncharacterized. Lineage: Eukaryota; Metazoa; Chordata; Testudines; Emydidae. The record is from RefSeq and is a predicted model, not a curated record. The transcript has 3 exons.
AUCCAGCACCGUGCUGACAUCGACACCUUAGACCCGCCCCCUGCCCACGCACUGACGGACAUUCGUUCCCAGGCAGAGCUGGGUGGAGCCAGGGCUGGGCUACCACGUAGGGGUGAAAACUCCUCCUCAGAGCGUCGUAUUAACCGUUUGGAAUGUUCCAUCGGCUGGCGUCCCCCGCCCGCCCGGGUGUGGUACCGCCCUGAGGUGAAAGGGAAGGGAAAACUUAUAAUGGCAGCAGGCUGUAAAAGAGACGCAGUUUGGGAAUAUUUUAAUGAAGUUCCUCUACCUGUGGGUAAAACAGGCAUGCAUGCAGACAGUGCAACAAAGAAAUGCAAGGCCUGGUUGCCCGAAUAAAACUACAUCAUGAGAAGUGAUAUGAAAGGAACAUGUUUGAACAUGCAGGAUCUUCAGGAGAAUCCAUCCUCAACAUACAGGAUGAGGACUAUCCACCUUCAAUAUCACCAUCAUUUUCUAUAGUUUCAGAGUUAUCUACCAAUGACAGUGUUUCAGUCACAUCAUGUAUUUCACAUAGCCACAGUAUAUCACCUGUAUCAAAAAGAAAAAAAAAAUCUCCAUCAUCCAGAAACAACCAGAGAUAAAUUGUGAUAAGAACCAGCAGAUUACAAAAAAAGGAAAUUGAUGAAAAAAUUGCCCGGUUUGUUUAUGCAACAAACUCUCCUUUCUGUAUGAUUGAGAACCCACAGUUCAAUAACAUGGUUCAAUCAUUAAGACCGGGAUACAGUCCACCCAACAGAGCAGAUGUCGCAGGCAAAUUGCUGGAUAAAGUGUAUGAAAGAGAAAUUGAGCAGUGUGCAAAAGAUCUAGAGGGUGAAAUUGUUAACCUGAGUCUUGAUGGGUGGAGCAGUGUCCACAAUGAUCCUGUUGUACGUGCUUGUGUGACAACAGAAGAAGGGAAUGUCUUCCUUACAGAAACAAUUGAUACAUCAGGAAAUGCACACAGCUAUAACAAACUGUGAAAAAAUAUUCAAAUGUCUGGUAUGCAGCUUGAUCACAGACAAUGCUGCAAAUGUAUCCAAGAUGAGAAGAAAUUAUUUAGAAGAGAGUCCCAAGCUAAUAACAUAUGGUUGCAGUGCUCAUUUGAUGCACCUCCUAGCCAAAGACUUCAGUGUUCCAGAAAUAAAGGCUAAUGUUAGAAUUGCAAAAUACUUCCAUAACAACCACUUUGCAGCAGCUGCUCUGAAGAAAUUGGGAGGAACCAAGCUAACUCUCCCACAAGACAUGCGAUGGAACUCAGUAGUGGACUGUUUUGUGUACUAUAUCAAGAACUGGCCUAAUCUGAUGACAGUUUGUGAACAAAAUAAUGAAAAAAUAGAUGGCACGGUCACAGCCGAAGUUCUCAACAUUGGGCUUAAGAGAAAUGUUGAACUCAUGCUGAGUACCCUGAAGCCUAUUUCUGUAGCCUUGAACAAAAUGCAGGGAAAUGGCUGUUUUAUUACUGACACUGUUGAAAUUUGGAAGGAACUGACUGAGAUCUUAAAAAGAGAAAUAUGCAAUGAAAGAGUUAAAUUAAACAACCAUUAAAAAAACAAAUGGGACAAGCACUAUCUCCAGCUCAUUUUCUUGCAAAUAGUCUCAAUACUUGGUACCAGGGUCAAACCUUAACUGCUGAAGAAGAGGAGUUGGCUAUAACAUGGACAUCCAGCAAUCAUCUCUCCAUAAUGCCAACUAUAAUAAACUUUCAGAGUUACAGAUGACCCAUUCAAGAAAUAUAUGUUUGCUGAUGAUGUUUUAAAGAAAGUCACACCAGUGAACUGGUGGAAGUCACUUAAGCACUUGGAUUCAGAGACUAUUGAAGUGAUAGUCUCACUUUUAACAGCAGUAGCUUCUUCUGCCAGUGUAGAAAUAAUAUUUUCUUCCUUUGGACUAAUUCGUUCCAAAUUGAGAAAUCGUUUGGGACCUGAAAAAGCAGGAAAGCUUGUUUUUCUUUUCCAGAUUAUGAACAAACAGGAAAAUGAAGUUGAAGACGACUGAGUUAGCUGCAGAAGCCAAUAUUUUAAGUUUCUCAUGUUGACUUGUCUGACAUAGUUGAUUUAAUUUUUUUUUUUAAAUAUUUCAUUUAACUAUUUUAGUUAUAAGCAAUUUUAACAAAAACAAACCUGAUUUUAAAAAACUUGAAUGUUUAACUAAAUUAAACAAAUCAUAUGCUUGUUUUCUUAAAAUAUUCUAUGUUUGCUGUUGAAGAAAAAAAUCCAGAAUACAUAACAUUGUUGUUUUAGUUAAAUAAAACAAUUUAAAUGUCUGUCUGGUGAUGUCCUCCUCCUAAUACAGCAUGGCAAGAAAAUCCUCCAAAUAUUAAUUAUUAACCUGUUGAAUUGGAUGUAGUUCACCUGUCAAUGACUUCAUAAAUAUCUGCUUCAGUUACCUUUGGUAAAUGAAAAAACCAAACAAUUAUUCAUUUUCUGAUACAGCUGUAAAGCUAAUCUGAAAAGUUUUCAAAAUAAAUCACUUUUAAAAUGUA